RNAcentral lists this ribosomal RNA (309 nucleotides) under uncultured bacterium. RNAcentral describes it as "partial 16S ribosomal RNA". It matches the Rfam family "Bacterial small subunit ribosomal RNA", at positions 504 to 807 of the family's 1533-position model. The record is from RNAcentral.
AGAGACAGCAGUAGCCGCGGUAAUACGAAGGGGGCUAGCGUUGUUCGGAAUUACUGGGCGUAAAGCGCACGUAGGCGGAUAUUUAAGUCAGGGGUGAAAUCCCGCAGCUCAACUGCGGAACUGCCUUUGAUACUGGGUAUCUUGAGUAUGGAAGAGGUUAGUGGAAUUGCGAGUGUAGAGGUGAAAUUCGUAGAUAUUCGCAGGAACACCAGUGGCGAAGGCGGCUAACUGGUCCAUAACUGACGCUGAGGUGCGAAAGCGUGGGGAGCAAACAGGAUUAGAUACCCCAGUAGUCCCUGUCUCUUAUAC